This is a long non-coding RNA of Numida meleagris (helmeted guineafowl), 2502 nucleotides long. RefSeq lists it as uncharacterized. The transcript has 3 exons. NCBI's taxonomy places the organism in Eukaryota, Metazoa, Chordata, Aves, Galliformes, Numididae. The record is from RefSeq and is a predicted model, not a curated record.
CCGUGUCCUCCAGACCCUUCACCAUCUUCAUAGCCCUCCUCUGGACACUCUCUAAUCACUUUAUGUCCUUCUUACAGUGUGGCACCCAAAAUCGGACGCAGUGCUGGAGCUCUGCAGUGUGUCUCAGCCUCUUGCCAUGAGACCUGAGAAGGCAGCCAGUGUCACCUUAGCUGUUACAUCGGGAGAGGACACCCUGGAGUACCAACCUCAGCUCCUGCUGUAAAAACUGGAAAAUCAGCUGGAGCCUGGAAGCCUGCCUGGGAGCACAGCAGGGGAGGACGGCAUGAGAGGCAAGGAGCAAUGGCAGCCUGCUGGGGCAGAGGUGGAGCACUGAACUGGCCCUGGCAGAUGAGGAGAUCUGUGCUCUUUUCUUCUCCAAAGCACCUGAACUCCAGGACACGCUGGGUGUGCGAGUUGACUCCAGCAAGCCCGAGGCAGUUUCAAUUGAUGCAACUGCUGUUUGCUCAGCAGCUGAGAGGCCUAGCUCCCUCUGAUCUUGGCUGUGCACAGAAAGCAGCUCCUUCUGUAGCUGUGUCCAGAUUCAGGUGGGCACUCGCACAAUGCCAGGUGCGGGCGCAUUCGGUGUUUUUCAAGCAGGGAUUGAGAAUGAGCAUCUGUGGUCCCUGCAGAAGAAGAAAUGAUUAGUAUUCAAAUGUCAGAGUGAGCAGAAGGAGGGAACAUGCCUUUUGUGCUCUGGAUAUGUGAUGAUGACCCACCUCUACUAUGGAGUGACCAUACCAAGGAUGUGCUGAUGUGCCUGCUCUGUACUGAUCAUGCAGCUGGCACGGCCAGCUCGACUCAUUGAUCGAAAAGGCAAAGAGGAGGCUUCUCGUCCUCCCAUCUUCUGGUUGGAGGCUGUGGCACUGGAAGCACCGCACCGUGGCACCAGCACUCAGCGCGCGCUUAUUGAUGGUAAAGAGCGGAGAGAGGCAUCUGGGGGACAGAGUGGGGCGGGUCUCGGUGCCGACGGUCCUGGUGCUGGCUGCUGGCAGCCCGGCCGGGCUUUGCUGGGACCGAGUGCCGCGCAGGACGCGGUGCGGUGCGGUGCGGUGCGGUGCGGUGCGGGUGCCCGCCGCGCGGUGUCACUGCCGGUCAAGGCAGCGCAGGGUCGGCCCCGGGGCUUCAGGCACCGCCAGGAGGGAGACCCAGGAAGGUGAAUUGUUUCGGGUCCCUGCGGGUGCCAGGUCCUUUUCUACGGGCACGGGAAGGCUGAUUUUUGCAGAAUUUUGUCCUGCGUUUCCCUCUCCGACAGCAAGAGCAUGUAACUACACUGGGAGGAGCUGCUGACUCCCCCGAGGGCAGAGAGGCUUUGCAGAGAGAUCUUGACAAAUCGGAGGGCUGGGCAAUCACCAACUGCAUAAAGGUCAACAAGAGCAGUGCUGGAUUCUGCACCUGCGAUGGGGCAGCCCUGGAUGGCAGUACAGGCUGGGGAGCAAGAGCCUGGAGGGCAGCCCCACAGGCAGAGAUCUGUGGGUUCUGGCUGACAGCAAGUUGAACAUGAGCCAGCAGUGUGCCCUGGCAGCCCAAAGGGCCAAGUAUGCCAUGGGGUGCCCCAGGCCCAGCGCUGCCAGCGGGUGAAGGGAGAGAUUGUCCCACUCUGCUCUGCACUGUGUAGCCUCACCUCCAGCACUGGGUGUGGGUUUGGGUGAUACAGUGUAAGGGCAUAAAGCUAUUAAAGAGCAUCCGAAGGAGGGCUACAAAGGUGGUGGAGGGCCUGGAGGGCAAGGUGUGUGAGGAGCUGCUGAGAUCCCUGGGUUUGUUCACUCAGAGCAGAGGAGGCUGAAGGGAGGCCUCAUGGCAGCCUGCAGCCUCAUGGUGGUAAGGUUCAACAUCUACUUCCAGACCACCAGUAUCCUCCUCUGACAUUGUGGGUCGACUUAAUAAAAUAGGAGGCAUUACUUUUGGAACAGCCCUUGAAAGGUAAGCUGGCAGGCAAGAGUUUCAUACUGCACAGAAGGUUCCAGUACAGCUCGCUCACCCAGAGAAACACUGAAAGGAAAAGCCCAGAACUUCUUGAGCUUGCCCCUGGGCCUGCCACCAUCCUGCCUUGCAGUGUCACCACAACAGUGCUGUGACACCCCAGGAGAACAUUUCCUUCUGCUGAUGCUGGGCUGUAACAUCCCCUGGCACCAUUGCCAGGCAGCAGGGAGCCUCUACCAACCUGUGGCUUUUCUUCAUCCACUGGUGCUCCUUCUUGCAGGGGUGCUGCACAGUCACAGGAGCAGCCUCAGAUGCAGGUGGGCUUCUCAUCAAGUGAUGUGAGCCACAGCACUGCGGGUUGCUCUUGCUGCUUCUGUGGAAGGUCUCGUAACGUGUUGUUACCGUCCGUGCCACUGCUGGAAUUACAGAAUUCUGUCACAGCCUCGCCUUUUUGUUUAAAAAUACAUUCUGUCACUCAUCUUUCUAGAAGGAAGCCUCCCAACGUAACUGGAAUGCACCCAAAAGGCUGAAAAUCCAAAGAGAAAUUAAAAUAUCCCACAUUUAAUUUUAUUUUAAAUCUGA